Molecule: non-coding RNA, 702 nt
Organism: Pelobates cultripes (western spadefoot toad)
Lineage: Eukaryota; Metazoa; Chordata; Amphibia; Anura; Pelobatidae
Source: the annotation of a GenBank genome assembly
CUUGGAGGAAGAGGACAGCACAACUUGAUAAUGCAGGAUUCGUUCUGGGAAAUCAAAUGACAUGCUGCAGUGUAAUUGUAUUAGUAAUGUAAUAUUGUAAAACACAGAACUCUUCCUAUCAGUUUUGAAUCUCUGAGUUGCUUGAGUCUUGUAGAUAGAGGGCUAAUUGGGAUAGGUGAAACAUUUUAGCUUUCAAAUUGAUUCUUCAUUUACCACCUGGAAAUCGAACACAAUGUUAACAAGAGCAGAAGCAGGUGCUUUGAAUCUGCUCUUUUAUUUUUGAAAAAAAAAGAACAUUAUAACCAAAGCAUAUCAUGUAUUUAGUAUUAUCAUUAUUUUAUUAUUUAUAUAGCGCCAGCAAAUUCCGUAGCGCUGUAAGUAGGAAUAUUUAGUUGCAUUGGUGGAUAUUCGAUUUAAAAAUCUAUAUUUAUUUUGAAUGAUGGUAUGGUUAACCCCAAGCUCUACUGAGAACUCAUUUUUUUUUACAAAUGGCAGAGGUCUUUUUUACUUUAAAAAUUUGUGCUUUAUGUGCACGUCACUACAAUUUUGAAUUGAUUUUAUUGUUUCACAUUGUUAUUUCAAGCAGGAACUACCGUACAAGUGGGUACAAUUAAGAUUGUGUAUUAAGAAAGGAUGUACAUACUUAUCAUCUCAGUCAUUAGGUUAAUGAUUCAUACAAUAAUAACAUAUAAUACAAUACAG